RNAcentral lists this ribosomal RNA (677 nucleotides) under uncultured euryarchaeote. RNAcentral's name for it is "bacterial SSU rRNA". It matches the Rfam family "Archaeal small subunit ribosomal RNA", at positions 55 to 708 of the family's 1478-position model. Lineage: Archaea; Methanobacteriati; Methanobacteriota. The record is from RNAcentral.
UAGUCGUGCGUCUUCAGCCAUGAUGGAGACGCGGCGCACAGCUCAGUAACACGUGGCUAACUUACCCUUGGGACGGAAACAACCCCGGGAAACUGGGGCUAAUUUCCGAUAGGUGAAGACUCCUGGAAUGGAUUUUCGCCCAAAAGACGCUUAGAUCAUGCUUCUAGGCGUUGCCCAAGGAUGGGGCUGCGGCCGAUCAGGUUGUUGGUGAGGUAACGGCUCACCAAGCCUUUAACCGGUUCGGGCCGUGGGAGCGGUAGCCCGGAGAUGGGUACUGAGACAAGGACCCAGGCCCUACGGGGUGCAGCAGUCGCGAAAACUUCACAAUGGGAGCAAUCCCGAUGAGGGAAUUCCAAGUGCCAACACACUGUGUUGGCUGUUCUCCUGUCUAAAAAGCAGGAGAAGUAAGGGCCGGGUAAGACGGGUGCCAGCCGCCGCGGUAAUACCCGCGGCCCGAGUGGUGGUCGAUAUUAUUGAGCCUAAAACGUCCGUAGCCGGUCUCGUAAAUCCCUGGGUAAAUCGGCCAGCUCAACUGUCCGAAUUCCGGGGAGACUGCGGGACUUGGGACCGGGAGAGGUCAGAGGUACUUCCGGGGUAGGGGUAAAAUCCUGUANNNNNGGAAGGACCACCGGUGGCGAAGGCGUCUGACUAGAANNNNNNCGACGGUGAGGGACGAA